UCCGCCAUGCAAUGGGAAGACGUGAUGUGGAGUGAAAUAUAGUAACGAAGCCCGUGAGCCAUGCGUCAAGAAAAGCCGCUAUUGUUUAUAUUGUACCCGUACCGUAAACCGACACAGGUGGAUGAGGAGAGAAUCCUAAGGCCGGCGGAAGAAGUAUUGCCAAGGAACUCGGCAAAAUGGCCCCGUAACUUAGGGAGAAGGGGUGCCUGCGAGAGCAGGCCGCAGAGAAUAGGCUCAAGCAACUGUUUAGCAAAAACACAGGUCUAUGCGAAACCGAAAGGUGAGGUAUAUGGGCUGACGCCUGCCCGGUGCUGGAAGGUUAAGAGGAGAGGUUAGACGCAAGUCGAAGCUUUGAAUUUAAGCCCCAGUAAACGGCGGCCGUAACGAUAACGGUCCUAAGGUAGCGAAAUUCCUUGUCGGGUAAGUUCCGACCCGCACGAAAGGCGUAAUGAUUUGAGCGCUGUCUCGGCAAUACAUCCGGUGAAAUUGAAGUGCCAGUGAAGAUGCUGGCUACCCGCGCCAGGACGGAAAGACCCCAUGGAGCUUUACUCCAGUUUGGCACUGGGGUCCGGUGUUGCAUGUACAGGAUAGGUGGGAGGCUGAGAGAUAGUGACGUCAGUUGCUAUGGAGCCGCUGUUGGGAUACCACCCUUGUGAUAUUGGGCUUCUAACCAGCCGCCGUGAACCGGCGGUGGGACAAUGCCAGGCGGGGAGUUUGACUGGGGCGGUCGCCUCCGAAAGGGUAUCGGAGGCGCCCAAAGGUUCCCUCAGAAUGGACGGAAACCAUUCGAAGAGUGCAAAGGCAGAAGGGAGCUUGACUGCGACACCGACGGGUGGAGCAGGUACGAAAGUAGGGCUUAGUGAUCCGGUGGUAUUAAGUGGGAAUGCCAUCGCUCAACGGAUAAAAGCUACCCUGGGAUAACAGGCUUAUCACUCCCAAGAGUUCACAUCGACGGAGUGGUUUGGCACCUCGAUGUCGGCUCAUCGCAUCCUGGGGCUGUAGUAGGUCCCAAGGGUUGGGCUGUUCGCCCAUUAAAGCGGUACGCGAGCUGGGUUCAGAACGUCGUGAGACAGUUCGGUCCCUAUCCGGCGUGGGCGUAGGAUAUCUGAGAGGAGCUGUCCUUAGUACGAGAGGACCGGGAUGGACGGACCGCUGGUGGACCGGUUGGCUUGCCAAAGCCAUGGCCGGGUAGCCAAGUCCGGAAGGGAUAAACGCUGAAGGCAUCUAAGCGUGAAGCCCCCCUCAAGAUGAGAUAUCCCAUUCUUUAAGAAGUAAACCCCCUUGAAGACGACGAGGUAGAUAGGGCAGAGGUGGAAGUGUGGUAACACAUGGAGCUGACUGUUACUAAUCGGGUGAGGGCUUGACCAG
This 1368-nucleotide ribosomal RNA is filed under the name metagenome. Its description in RNAcentral is "bacterial LSU rRNA". It matches the Rfam family "Bacterial large subunit ribosomal RNA", at positions 1541 to 2925 of the family's 2925-position model. The record is from RNAcentral.